This 2393-nucleotide long non-coding RNA is filed under the name Homo sapiens (human). RNAcentral's name for it is "non-protein coding lnc-INTS11-1:2". Lineage: Eukaryota; Metazoa; Chordata; Mammalia; Primates; Hominidae. The record is from RNAcentral.
CUGUUUCCCUGUUGCCUGCUCCCGGAGGGGGUGGUCACGUGCCCGAUCCAUCUGCCUCCUGUCUUCCGGGGAUUCUCCCGCCGAGGCUUCUCUGGUGAUGUCAUGCCUUAACUCUUCUCUCCCCAGGCAGCCCCACUGUCAGGCUGUCCUGGUGGGAGUGGGCUCUGAGGAGGAUGGCCUACCCGUCUUUCCAGCGGACCAUGCCGCUUGCAGCUGUGAGGUUGGGGGAGCCGGGGGCGUCUCUCCCCAGCUGGUCUGGGUCCUCCUGGUGCUGCCAGGACCGAGAGCAGCUGCCCUACUGCCCCCACCCUGUCCCACAGUGCAUGGGUGCCAGACCUGGAUGGGCUGCAGUAGUGCAGUGGGGUGAGGGGAGGUGCCGCAGGGUUGAGGGGCUCCAGAUGGGUCCAGGGUUGACUCUGAACUCCUAGAGGAGAGGCGGGUGAGGCUGGCUCAGCCCUUGGUGGGCACUGUCCCUGAGGGACUCCCAGCGGCCGGCUGUCCUGGGAGAGGCUGGUCCAGCCUUCUUCCCCGAGGGCACAGCAGCGGCUGCCUCUGCCUGCCUGGGGUUGGGGGGGCGGGGGGAAGUGCACUGAACCUGGUCCCAGUCCUGCCCCCGUAGCAGGCAGGCGUCUGUCUCCCAGCCUGUUUCCUGAAAGCCCCUUCCCAUGGUGGAGCCCCUCAGGGAGGUGCGGGGGGAGGUGAAGCCCCGAGGGGGCUGAGGCUGCAGGUGACCCCAGCCAGCCCCGUUCUUGCUUUAGGGCGACCAUUGACGAGGUGGAGACGGACGUGGUGGAGAUUGAGGCCAAACUGGACAAGGUGAAGGGCGGGCCUGGAGCGCCCUGUGCCCGGCCAAGCUUGGGAUGGCCACAUGGCCAGACUCGCCCUCCAGGCCUUACUAAGCCACUUACACCCCCCAUAUGUGGAGCAUGCGUGUGGUGCUCCAGGUCCUGGUCCCUGUGUCUUAGCAUGUGUGUUCCAGGGUGCACAUGUCACAUGCACACAUGUGGCUGGCCCUGAGUCUCGUCCCAUCUGGGAGGGGCUGGGCUGUGGUGAGUCCCCGACCCACGGUGGCUGCCCGUCCCCUCUGCUGGGCUGGUGACACGGGGACAGCUGCUGUGUGGGCUGAGCCUUGGUGUGGCUGGGGCUGGGGCUGAGAAAGGGGAGGGGGCAACAGGCCGUGGAGGGGGGAGCCGUGUCCAUGAGCCCCACAUGGGCUGAGAAAGAGGGGGCAACAGGCCGUGGAGAGGGGAGCCGUGUCCAUGAGCCCCACAUGGGCUGAGAAAGAGGAGGGGGCAACAGGCCGUGGAGCUGGGAGUGGGCAGCCUUAUCCAUGAGCCCCACAUGGGCUGGUUCUGCUGGUCCUGCUGGCCCUGGGUCCCCUGCCUGGCUCCUGGUCCCUCCCAGCCGAGCCGUGGCGGCCCCACCCUCCCCUCCCAGACGGGCCUCCAAGCCCCAGGCAGGCCCAGGCGUGAGGAAGCUGCACCGGGGCACUGAGUCCUGAGUGCCAACGCCCUGAGUGGAACCUACCCUGGGAGCUCUUCCUGCCUCUGAGUGGCCGUGUGUGGUGGCGAGUGCAGGCGCCAGUGCCCACUGUGCUCACCACGCCCCGCUGGCCCACAGCUGGUGAAGCUGUGCAGUGGCAUGGUGGAAGCCGGUAAGGCCUACGUCAGCACCAGCAGGCUUUUCGUGAGCGGCGUCCGCGACCUGUCCCAGCAGUGCCAGGGCGACACCGUCAUCUCGGAAUGUCUGCAGAGGUUCGCUGACAGCCUACAGGAGGUGGUGAACUACCACAUGAUCCUGUUUGACCAGGCCCAGAGGUCCGUGCGGCAGCAGCUCCAGAGCUUUGUCAAAGAGUGAGUGGCCCCCAGGGCUGGGGGAAGAACACUGAGGCCACGCUCCCUCCCUUGGAGGGGAAGGGGGUCUGGGGCAGAGCAGAGGCACCUUGGGCCCAGGCCUCCAGGCUGUGCAGCGGCUCCACAAGGCAGAAGGCUCAGAGGCAGACAGCCGGGUGGAGUGCGGGGGGUUCCACACCCUGCAUGUGUGGGUGGGGUGUCCAGCCCCCACAGCAGAGAGGUCCAGUCCACGUUGGGUUUGGGGGUCUGGAGUCUGGGGCAUGGCUGGGGUCUGGGCUGGACAGAUCUUGAGAGUGAGGUGGGGAGGGGCUGGGGAGGCCUGGAGCAGAUGAUCGGGGUCAGCAGGGGUGCGGGCAGGCCUGGGAUAGGCUGGUGAGGAAGGAGGCUAUGCCCAGGAGCAAAGAAAGGGCCUGGAGUGGAGGGGGGUGGGGCUGGGCAUGGUGGCUCACACCUGUAAUCCCAGCGUUUGGGAGGCCAAGGCCAGAGAAUGCCAGGAGUUUGAGACCAGCCUGGGCAACGUAAUGAGACCUCCAUCUCUAC